This is a non-coding RNA of Anopheles christyi, 80 nucleotides long. The record is from Rfam. Lineage: Eukaryota; Metazoa; Arthropoda; Insecta; Diptera; Culicidae.
CUUAUAUGAUGAUACUCUAUUCAUAUCAGUUCUGCUUAUGAAAAACGGUGAUUAUACCAUCAUCCCACAUUUACUGAUCC